GAUGAACGCUGGCGGCGUGCCUAAUACAUGCCAGUCGAGCGAACAGACGAGGAGCUUGCUCCUCUGACGUUAGCGGCGGACGGGUGAGUAACACGUGGAUAACCUACCUAUAAGACUGGGAUAACUUCGGGAAACCGGAGCUAAUACCGGAUAAUAUAUUGAACCGCAUGGUUCAAUAGUGAAAGACGGUUUUGCUGUCACUUAUAGAUGGAUCCGCGCCGCAUUAGCUAGUUGGUAAGGUAACGGCUUACCAAGGCAACGAUGCGUAGCCGACCUGAGAGGGUGAUCGGCCACACUGGAACUGAGACACGGUCCAGACUCCUACGGGAGACAGCAGUAGGGAAUCUUCCGCAAUGGGCGAAAGCCUGACGGAGCAACGCCGCGUGAGUAAUGAAGGUCUUCGGAUCGUAAAACUCUGUUAUUAGGGAAGAACAAAUGUGUAAGUAACUAUGCACGUCUUGACGGUACCUAAUCAGAAAGCCACGGCUAACUACGUG
Molecule: ribosomal RNA, 497 nt
Filed under: uncultured bacterium
Lineage: Bacteria
Description: partial 16S ribosomal RNA
Rfam family: Bacterial small subunit ribosomal RNA
Source: RNAcentral